Molecule: ribosomal RNA, 301 nt
Filed under: uncultured bacterium
Lineage: Bacteria
Description: partial 16S ribosomal RNA
Rfam family: Bacterial small subunit ribosomal RNA
Source: RNAcentral
CAGUCGCCGCGGUAAUACGUAGGUGGCAAGCGUUGUCCGGAAUUAUUGGGCGUAAAGGGCUCGCAGGCGGUUCUUUAAGUCUGGUGUAUAAGUGCGGGGCUCAACCCCGUGAGGCACUGGAAACUGGGGAACUUGAGUGCAGAAGCGGAGAGCGGAAUUCCACGUGUAGCGGUGAAAUGCGUAGAGAUGUGGACGAACACCAGUGGCGAAGGCGACUCUCUGGUCUGUAACUGACGCUGAGGAGCGAAAGCGUGGGGAGCGAACAGGAUUAGAUACCCCAGUAGUCCCUGUCUCUUAUACA